Daktulosphaira vitifoliae (grape phylloxera) is the source of this 2172-nucleotide long non-coding RNA. RefSeq lists it as uncharacterized. The transcript is spliced from 3 exons. NCBI's taxonomy places the organism in Eukaryota, Metazoa, Arthropoda, Insecta, Hemiptera, Phylloxeridae. The record is from RefSeq and is a predicted model, not a curated record.
UGAUAGCAGUUGGUAACAUCAUAGAAUAUAUUUUAUUCUGUACUAAUGUUAAAUACUCAUUACAAGUACCAAUAUACUUUUUAACUUUAAAAAGUCUUUGGCACUCAUAAUCUUACCAAUACUCAAUAAGAAAAUGAUUAAUAUUUUAUGAUGAUCACAAUUCUAUUAAGUUAGUUAAGUCCGCAAUAUUCUAAAAUAUAAAGAAAUACCAUAGAUGAUCAUCGUUGGAUGUCUUAAGUUUGAUUAUUCUAAUCAUACAUUUUAAUUUGUGUAUUUCUUUUCAUUUUUUUUUGGGAGUUUUUAUUACAAGAUUUUUAUUGAUGUUUGGUAAGAAUUUCAAAAAUAAAAUUGAUAAACAAAUAAAAUAAUGCAAGGAAUAAAUUAUGGAAAAUAUGUGAAGCUUAAAUAUCGAAGAGGAUUCUUUAGGCUGUCUAUAUAAAAUUCCGAUAAAAGUACACAGUUACGCAAAAUAUAUGUUUUACAAGAAAAAAUUGUACAUUAGAAUCAAUGUAACAAAAAUUUAAUUAUUAAAAUUAGAAUAACUCAAAAAGAGAAAGUAUUAAAAUGUAUUGUGUAAAAGGUUGACAUUUGUUUACUGAGGUAUUCACCAAGAGCACAUUCAGAAAUCAUUUUAUGAGGAUAUUUAAUUUUUUUUUUUUGACUUUGUUAAACAUACUCUAAAAUUUUUUUUUUAAAAAUCAAUGUGAUGAUCAAAUAAAAAGUUUAUAGUCAUUUUUCUUAGAAAUUGGCCUUAAAAAAUAUUAAUAGCCCUGGUCCAAGAGGUAAUAUGAGAUUGGGUUCCAAAGAGUAUUGUUAUAUUCAAGUAUGGGAUGUACCAAUGAACAAUAAUUUGAGAUAAUAAAUGGAAGUCGGAUAAUGAAUCCAAACAACUUAAAUGCUCUACAGCAAAUUUGCUUAUUGGGGCAAAAAUCAAUGGCCAGAAUAAAGCCUAGUUUUAGUUUUUAUCGAAGUGGACAUAAUAAUAUAUAUAUAUAUAUUCAGAGAGAGUAAUUAACUUUUUAAAAGCCUUAAAGAAGUCAGUGUUAAUAACGUUGAGUUGACAGCCUAAAGGAAUCAAAGGUAUAAGAAGUAAUGAUAGUUGAUAACAAAAUAAUAAUGUACGGUCACAUUGACCCCUAUAUAAUAUUGUUAAGUGGUUACGGCGGUGCAGCCGCUGAAAGUGAGCAGUGAUUAUUUCCUUUAAUAAACGGUUUUGUAAUAAAUGAGUAAAAUAAUGAGGAUAAUAAAUUGAAAUUAUCCUAACAUUGAAUAUAUUUUUCUUUAAGGAAGUUUACAUAGUGUUACAAGUGGUAUUAGAGCGACCGGGGCGGAAACCAUGUUGCUAAUCAAUUGUAUUUGUAAACGGCACUCUUUAGUACUAAAUAAAAAACAAAUUUAACUAUUCACAAAAACUUGAUUGUAAUUUUAUUUUGGGAAAUAAAAUGUGCUAGGCUACAUUUCUAAUAUAAUAACAAUAAACACAAACUGUAGAAUAAUCACGAAAUUUUAAAUUUAAUGUAGGAAUUAUUUUUUAAUCAAAUUAUAAAAAAUGUCAAAACAACUCAGAUCUUUAACAAUAUAUAUAUAUAUCAAUAUUUAUGUCAAAUUCAAUUGAGGGGGGGGGGAAAUGAUACUUUUGCCCUCCUGUAUGUUGACUGGGGACAAAACUGCCCAUCCUGCCAAUCGGUUCCGGUGUCACUGACAAGAUCUUUUAACUCCUUAACAUUUUCCAUAGUCUCCCUAAAAAUGAAAAAAAAUUGUGUAUUUUUAUAUAACUGUACACAUUUUUUUGGGGCCAUAGCAAACUUUGAGAAGUUUAAAUAUAUCUAGUUCCCUUUAAAUUGUCGUCGAUGGUCACAAAUGUUAUUUAUUUUGUAGAUAUUAAUACACCUACAGAAUAAAUUAAAAAAAAAAUCUACAAUUAAUAUCUGAUGCAUAGAAUACUUUGUUUACAAAUAUUUAACUUUUAGAUACCUAUUGUAAAUUAUUACACGAUACGAAAAGUAUUGAAAACAAAAGUUUCUAUGAAAUUAUCUAAAAAAACAACAAAAACCAACAGUUACAGAUAAUGACACUUGUUUUAUACAAAAUCAUAAUAAUCUGGUAACAAGUUUUGUACAAAACAAGUACAAACGGAAAAUAAAUAUUUUAUAAUCAAGUAAAAAAAAAAAA